CCUACGGGAGGCUGCAGUGGGGGAUAUUGCACAAUGGGGGGAACCCUGAUGCAGCGACGCCGCGUGGGUGAAGGAGUGCUUCGGCAUGUAAAGCCCUAUCGGCAGGGAAGAAGCAAGACGGUACCUGACUAAGAAGCCCCGGCUAACGACGUGACAGCAGCCGCGGUAAUACGUAGGGGGCGCGCGUUAUCCGGAUUCACUGGGUGUAAAGGGAGCGUAGACGUCAAAGCAAGCCAGGGGUGAAAGCCCGGGGCCCAACCCCGGGACUGCCCUUGGAACUGCAUGGCGGGAGUGCGGGAGGGGCAGGCGGAAUUCCUGGUGUAGCGGUGAAAUGCGUAGAUAUCAGGAGGAACACCGGCGGCGAAGGCGGCCUGCUGGACCGCGACUGACGUUGAGGCUCGAAAGCGUGGGGAGCGAACAGGAUUAGAUACCCGGGUAGUC
Molecule: ribosomal RNA, 441 nt
Filed under: uncultured bacterium
Lineage: Bacteria
Description: partial 16S ribosomal RNA
Rfam family: Bacterial small subunit ribosomal RNA
Source: RNAcentral